RNAcentral lists this ribosomal RNA (440 nucleotides) under uncultured bacterium. RNAcentral describes it as "partial 16S ribosomal RNA". It matches the Rfam family "Bacterial small subunit ribosomal RNA", at positions 338 to 795 of the family's 1533-position model. The record is from RNAcentral.
CCUACGGGUGGCAGCAGUGGGGAAUAUUGCACAAUGGGGGAAACCCUGAUGCAGCGACGCCGCGUGAGUGAAGAAGUAUCUCGGUACGUAAAGCUCUAUCAGCAGGGAAGAAAAUGAUGGUACCUGACUAAGAAGCCCCGGCUAACCACGUGCCAGCAGCCGCGGUAAUACGUAGGGGGCAAGGGUUAUCCGGAUAUACUGGGUGUAAAGGGAGCGCAGACGGCAAGACAAGUCAGGAGUGAAAUCCCGGGGCUUAACCCAGAAACUGCAUUGGAAACUGUGCGGCUGGAGUGCAGGAGGGGUAGGCGGAAUUCCUAGUGUAGCGGUGAAAUGCGUAGAUAUUAGGAGGAACACCGGUGGCGAAGGCGGCUUACUGGACUGUAACUGACGUUGAGGCUCGAAAGCGUGGGGAGCAAACAGGAUUAGAUACCCUUGUAGUC